AUUGAACGCUGGCGGCAUGCUUUACACAUGCAAGUCGAACGGCAACACGGGGGCAACCCUGGUGGCGAGUGGCGAACGGGUGAGUAAUACAUAGGAACGUAUCCUGAAAUGGGGGAUAGCUCGGCGAAAGCCGGAUUAAUACCGCAUACGAUCUACGGAUGAAAGCAGGGGAUUCGCAAGAACCUUGCGUUUCUGGAGCGGCCUAUGUCUGAUUAGCUAGUUGGCGGGGUAAAAGCCCACCAAGGCGACGAUCAGUAGCUGGUCUGAGAGGAUGAUCAGCCACACUGGGACUGAGACACGGCCCAGACUCCUACGGGAGGCAGCAGUGGGAAUUUUGGACAAUGGGGCAACCCUGAUCCAGCCAUGCCGCGUGAGUGAAGAAGGCC
This 386-nucleotide ribosomal RNA is filed under the name uncultured bacterium. RNAcentral's name for it is "bacterial SSU rRNA". It matches the Rfam family "Bacterial small subunit ribosomal RNA", at positions 30 to 416 of the family's 1533-position model. The record is from RNAcentral.